Molecule: ribosomal RNA, 512 nt
Filed under: uncultured prokaryote
Description: bacterial SSU rRNA
Rfam family: Bacterial small subunit ribosomal RNA
Source: RNAcentral
ACACAUGCAAGUCGAACGGUAACAUUUCUAGCUUGCUAGAAGAUGACGAGUGGCGGACGGGUGAGUAAUGCUUGGGAACUUGCCUUUGCGAGGGGGAUAACAGUUGGAAACGACUGCUAAUACCGCAUAAUGUCUUCGGACCAAACGGGGCUUCGGCUCCGGCGCAAAGAGAGGCCCAAGUGAGAUUAGCUAGUUGGUAAGGUAACGGCUUACCAAGGCGACGAUCUCUAGCUGUUCUGAGAGGAAGAUCAGCCACACUGGGACUGAGACACGGCCCAGACUCCUACGGGAGGCAGCAGUGGGGAAUAUUGCACAAUGGGGGAAACCCUGAUGCAGCCAUGCCGCGUGUGUGAAGAAGGCCUUCGGGUUGUAAAGCACUUUCAGUUGUGAGGAAAAGUUAGUAGUUAUACCUGCUAGCCGUGACGUUACACAGAAGAAGCACCGGCUAACUCCGUGCCAGCAGCCGCGUAUACGAGGUGCGAGCGUUAUCGAAUUCUGGCGUAAGCGCACGC